This 79-nucleotide ribosomal RNA is filed under the name Meloidogyne incognita (southern root-knot nematode). Its description in RNAcentral is "partial 28S ribosomal RNA". The record is from RNAcentral. Lineage: Eukaryota; Metazoa; Nematoda; Chromadorea; Rhabditida; Meloidogynidae.
GACCUGAACUCAGUCGAGAGCACCCGCUGAACUUAAGCAUAUCAGUAAGCGAGACGCACAAAGUGGGCUACCCAAAAUG